Molecule: ribosomal RNA, 996 nt
Filed under: uncultured bacterium
Lineage: Bacteria
Description: bacterial SSU rRNA
Rfam family: Bacterial small subunit ribosomal RNA
Source: RNAcentral
CUACGGGAGGCAGCAGCGAGAUCUCUACAUGGGCGCAGCCGAUAGAGCAACGCCGCGUGGAGAUGACGCGUCGGGUUGUAAACUCCUUUCAGGGGGGAUGAUGAUGACCGUACCCCCAGAAGCAGCCCCGGCUAACUACGUGCCAGCAGCCGCGGUAAUACGUAGGAUGCAAGCGUUGUCCGGAUUUACUGGGCGUAAAGCGCGCGCAGGCGGCACUACAAGUAAGGUGUGAAAUCUCCCUUUCUCAACGGGGAGGGUGCACUUUAGACUGUAGAGCUAGAGGUCGGUAGAGGGGGGUGGAAUUGCUGUGUAGCGGUGAAAUGCGUAGAGAUCAGCAGGAACACCCGUGGCGAAGGCGGCCCCCUGGGCCGUACCUGACGCUGAGGCGCGAAGGCUAGGGGAGCGAACGGGAUUAGAUACCCCGGUAGUCCUAGCAGUAAACGAUGGCCACUAGGUGUGGGGGGUGUUGACCCCUUCCGUGCCGAAGCUAACGCAUUAAGUGGCCCGCCUGGGGAGUACGGUCGCAAGACUAAAACUCAAAGGAAUUGACGGGGACCCGCACAGGCAGCGGAGCGUGUGGUUUAAUUCGAUGCGACGCGAAGAACCUUACCAGGGCUUGACAUGUACUCGCAACCUCCUGAAAGGGAGGCCUCCUUCGGGACGGGUACACAGAUGCUGCAUGGCUGUCGUCAGCUCGUGUCGUGAGAUGUUGGGUUAAGUCCCGCAACGAGCGCAACCCCCGUCCCUAGUUGACUAUCUAGGGAGACUGCCGGAAACAAACCGGAGGAAGGUGGGGAUGACGUCAAGUCAGCAUGGCUCUUACGUCCUGGGCUACACACACGCUACAAUGGCAGUUACAGCGAGAAGCCAUCCCGCGAGGGAGAGCAGAUCUCUUAAAGGCUGCCUCAGUUCAGAUUGCACUCUGCAACCCGAGUGCAUGAAGUAGGAGUAGCUAGUAACCGCGUGUCAGCAUAGCGCGGUGAAUACGUUCCCGGG